RNAcentral lists this ribosomal RNA (432 nucleotides) under uncultured bacterium. RNAcentral describes it as "partial 16S ribosomal RNA". It matches the Rfam family "Bacterial small subunit ribosomal RNA", at positions 29 to 506 of the family's 1533-position model. The record is from RNAcentral.
AACGAACGCUGGCGGCAUGCCUAACACAUGCAAGUCGAACGAGACCUUCGGGUCUAGUGGCGCACGGGUGCGUAACGCGUGGGAACCUGCCCUUAGGUUCGGAAUAACUCCCCGAAAGGGGUGCUAAUACCGGAUAAUGUCUUCGGACCAAAGAUUUAUCGCCUUUGGAUGGGCCCGCGUUGGAUUAGCUAGUUGGUAGGGUAAAAGCCUACCAAGGCGACGAUCCAUAGCUGGUCUGAGAGGAUGAUCAGCCACACUGGGACUGAGACACGGCCCAGACUCCUACGGGAGGCAGCAGUGGGGAAUAUUGGACGAUGGGCGAAAGCCUGAUCCAGCAAUGCCGCGUGAGUGAUGAAGGCCUUAGGGUUGUAAAGCUCUUUUACCCGGGAUGAUAAUGACAGUACCGGGAGAAUAAGUUCCGGCUAACUCCGU